UUGUGUAUUUUCCUGUUCAAAUACGGGGGAAAGACACGAAGGGGGGCAGCGACGAGCUGAGCCUCCUCUCGGAUUGCGCAAUCCCUCACAAACUGGAUUGAGCUGCUCAUUUUUUUUUUCUUUUUUUCCCAGCUUGAGCAUGUGCAAUUGAUCUCUCUGUAUGUCACCAAGGUAAUAUUUGUACACACUUUAAUUAUAUCUCCUCACAUUCCAUAGACUAGGUCAUGUAUUUCACUUAUGCGUAUAACUUAUUAGUCUUGCUGAUCUGACAUAACACCACAGUGAAAAAGCAGGAGGGGAGGCAGACAGUACCUCUGCCUCACUGGAGGGGGCGUGUGUGAGCAUACGGGCUUGUUCUGCUAUUAUUCUUCUUCACGUAUUACAGACAAAUGGCACUGUGGGUAAUAUGCUAGCUAAAAUAUUCAAGUAGAGAAAGUCAAGUGCAUCGCAUCAGUCCGUUUAUUUUUAUUUUUAAAAUGGAAGAUUAUAUAGAUAAGCUAAAACAUUUCGCAAAACUGGACUUUCAAUCAAUACUGGAAGGGAUAAAUAAUAGAAGACCGAUGCCGGAGCUAAAAGAUUUGCUUCAAUUGACGGGACAGAAGAUAACACGCUCUUUUCACACGGAGCGGUACACCCGAAAUCACUGGCUGUGUGGUUGUGCUCCGAGAAACCGCCUUUUCUGCUUUCCAUGCCUUUUGUUCUCAACGAGUGACAACGUCUGGACUACAACGGGAUUUUGUGACUUGAAAAAUAUACCAAGAAGCCUCAGCAGACAUGAAAGUUCAACUACUCACCUUCAAAGCCAAAUUGCUUUAAAAACUUUUUGAAGCGCAAGGAUAGAUUUGGCUUUGAACGAACAGCAGAGAAAAAAUAUUAGCGUCCACAAUGCUAAGGUAAAGGAAAACAAAGAGAUUUUAAAAGACCUCAUUAAUGCAACUUGCUUCCUAUCCUAACAGCAAUUAGCAUUUCGUGGUAACGAUGAGAGUGUGACCUCUUCUAAUCGUGGCAACUAUGUAGAACUAUUACAUGCUUUUGCUGAGAAAGAUGAUAGGUUAGCUAGACAUUUGGAGACAUCCACUGUGUUUUCGGGCUUAUCAAACAGAAUUCAGAACAAUUUAAUUGAAGCAUUAAGUGAUGUGAUUAGAAAUGAUAUAAAAAAGGAGAUUAAUGUAGCCCUAUUUGUUGCUGUAGAAGUAGACGAGACAACGAUUUUCACAAACAAAGCCCAGAUCUGUCAUGCGUUCUGUGGCGUGAAGUGAGGUGGCCUGUGAAGUGAGAGAGGUGUUUUGGGGAUUUGAUGAUGUGAGUAAUGACAGAUGAGUAAAGUUGGUACCGCUGUCUGAUCUCAUAUGAACAACUUGUCCUCAUCUGCAAAUAAAUCUGCAUAGGGAAUUAAUGCAUCAGUGUCCAAGGAAUAGGCAACUUCCAGGUGAACAGCUCUACUUGCCAUGCACGUAAAGAUGACUCCAUAACAUUUCACAAUGGAGCGUCUUCUUUUGUCCUCUAUAGGACCAAAAUAAUCCACUCCUACAUUCGUAAAUGGAAGAAGAUCGGGAAUGAGUCUCUCUUUCGGCAAGUCUGCCAUCUUCUGCUCGCCCACUUAAGUUCCCCUUAACUGCUUUGUCUUAGCUUCCUCUGCUUUGUACGCAUCGAUUAGCUUCCUUUUCAGAUACUCAGUCAGCUGCUUAGAGGAGCCCAUGGUUGUUGAAUGUUAGGACACGAUCUGAAGAGUCAGAUAAUUUAUUACAUUCUGAAAUAGUUAUUCCUAAUUACAAUUCUUCAUCUACAGAAUAAGUCAAUUAAGCCCUAACAAAACUUUACAACUGGCAGGGUGUCCAAACUUUUGCACAUGCCACAUAUGGUUGUUUUUUUCCCCCUAUUUCUCAAGUUAAACAAAUAUAAAAUUACCUGUGCACUAACAUUUACAGGACAAUGUUAAUGGCUGUACCGGGUGUGUUUACUUCAAAAAUCAAUGAAAUAUGUACAUUACCAAAGAAAAACACCAAAUAACUAACACAGGUUCUUUUACCUCCUGGAACACCCUACUAACUGAUUUUAUAAUAAAACUGCACCACAGUGUAUCUGACAGAAUUUGU
Ictalurus furcatus (blue catfish) is the source of this 2096-nucleotide long non-coding RNA. RefSeq lists it as uncharacterized. The transcript has 2 exons. Lineage: Eukaryota; Metazoa; Chordata; Actinopteri; Siluriformes; Ictaluridae. The record is from RefSeq and is a predicted model, not a curated record.